Myotis davidii is the source of this 171-nucleotide non-coding RNA. Lineage: Eukaryota; Metazoa; Chordata; Mammalia; Chiroptera; Vespertilionidae. The record is from Rfam.
AUAUUUACCUGGCAGGGGAGAUACUAUGAGUAACUAUGAGAUACUAUGAUUCCCCAAGGUGGUUUUUCCAGGGUGAGGCUUGUUCAUUGUGCUAACUCUUGAGAUUUCCCCAAACGUGGGAACUUGACAGCAUAAUGUGUGGUAGUGGGGAACUAUGUUUGCACUCCCCUG